CGUAUAUCGCCAACACCGUGAUGGCGGAGGCACUACCUCAGCCCGACAUGUCGCACCUCACCCCCGAGGAGAGGCGCAUUAUAGAGGGUGUUUUAAUGCGCCAAAAGGAGGAGGAGGAACAGGAUCAUGAGAUUAUGAGACGAAAGCAAGAUGAAGUGCAGACCCUCGAAGAAACGAUACGGAUGCGUUCGGAAAAACACAAAAAGGCCGGGGUUGAACUUAACGCCACAUGUCACAUAUGCCUGAAAACCAAGUUUGCCGAUGGCAUCGGUCACAUCUGCACCUAUUGCAAAACUCGAUGCUGCGCACGCUGUAGCGGAAAGGUCACUUUACGGUCAACCAAGGUGGUAUGGAUGUGCGUACUUUGCAAGAAGAAGCAGGAACUUCUUUCGAAGACCGGACAAUGGAUGACGAGGCCGGGCCUCGCCGUGGACAACGCGAUGAUGCGGCAAAUGCAGGAAGACUUGCAGGUGGGUGGUCGUCAGGGACUCGCGGACCAAACUCGGGAUAAAAGACCGAAACUCGAGAGGGCGCACAGCGCGGCUGAGAAAGAGAAUUUGCCGUUAUUACAGAGAAGCGGAAACUGUCCUCUCAGGAGACAGUACUCCCAGCAAGAGCAGAUCUCGGGUCGCCGGAUGUCCACGAGCGACAGUGGGGUAGAAAUGUCUGUUUCACCUCACGCGAGAACUUUACCGACACCGCACGUGGUUGGGUCUUACCCGAUGCAACAAAUUCCGAGGCAUCCUGCAGCCUAUCCUGACGACGAUCCCAAUUUAUAUCGAGGCGAGCUUGACGGUCUGAUGAAACAACAUCCGCAGAACUAUUCGAGACAACGAUUGACUUAUCAAGAUCAGGGUACAGACCUCGGAAUGACUUACGGUCAGACACCGAUGGAGACUGGCUCCGUUCGUUCUGCAAUGCAUCCCUCGCAGCAUUCGUUGCAUCAGACGCAGGGCGGACGUUCUGCUCAACCUACGUCAACAGUGGGCGUCACGCAACAAAGAAGUUUCAGUAGCAGCGAGGAAGAGCGAAGCACACCGGAGUGCGCCAGUGACGAGCCGGACGAAUCGGAGAAGGGGCAAAAGCCGCCGCCACUAGGGAUGACUUCCAGGGGUACGCGAGAGAAGGCGACAGACAGAAUGAAUCGGCAAUUCCCCGCGCAUCCAUUAUCCUGGCAAGCGAGCGAAGACGGUCAGAAGAUCAUCGGCCACAUGGUUUUACGAAAAUCGGCCGGUUCCGGAAGCUGUAGUAGUAUACUCGGACUAAAAGUUGUCGGUGGCAAGCUAUUAGAAGAUGGUUCCAUGGGCGCUCUGAUCGAGAAAGUGAAAAAGGGUAGCACGGCGGACGUAGAAGGUCAACUUAGACCCGGUGACGAGGUGAUCGCAUGGAAUGGAAGGUCCCUUCAAGGCAAAAGCUUCCGAGAGGUUUACGACAUCAUCGCCGAAUCGAGGUUGGAGCCACAGAUUGAGCUCAUAGUUGAGAGAAAGUUAUCGACAAUGGGUAUGGCGCCUGCAGGACCGGGCCCAUCGACGCCCAUGACAUCCAGGAGAAUUGUUGCUCAGAGCCAGUGGAGACAGAAACACGAAACCAUCUCCGGGCCUCCGACGCCGCACCACAAAGGUCUUAAGAAAUGCUUACUAUGGGUGACGUCGCCGGGCUCGCCGGACCUGUACGCCCAAGGACGCAGUCGACACUCCCGACAUCCGACUGGAAAUGUGAACGUGGGCGGCAGCAUCCAGGUGAAGCUGGGCUUCGAUCCCGUGGGACUUCAGCUGAUUGUCACGAUAAUAUGCGCCGCGGGACUCACCCCAAAGAGCAACGGCCAACCUAGAAAUCCUUACGCCAAAGUUUUUCUGCUUCCUGAUAAAAGCGAAAAAUCGAAACGACGUACGAAGACUGUGGCAAACACGAACGAUCCCAGAUGGAAUCAGACUUUUGUUUAUAAUGGAGUCAGACGUUCGGACCUGAGGAAAAGAGCACUGGAAAUUACGGUUUGGGACUACGCUAGGUACGAGGCGAACGAUUUCCUCGGCGAGGCUGUCCUGGAAUUGGCAGUAUGUCUCCUGGACGAGGAACCAGAAUGGCAUUCUCUGACCGCUCACGGAGAACACCGGCACGUUAGGCAUUACCAAGAUGAUGACAUGAUAGAUUGUCAUCUUAGUCCGCCAUCGACCACCUCGAGAUUAAGUGACUCUGACACCUCGGAGUGCGACAUUACGGAUUGUGACGUGUCUAGAGAACAGAGGAGAACGGCUGACGGUGCUAGCAUAAGCAGUAUUGGCAGUUCCUCUAGGUUUCAUAAUAUGCCGUCAAAUUAUAAGCGCCACUAUUCUAGCCCACCGCCGGAGAGGGAACUCUGCAUCGAUGGUGAGCAUCGGAGUCGAAGAGAUAUGUCACCUCAGGGACGCAAAAGGGCAGCCCUAAUGAUUUCUCAUGACCAACCCGCUACUAUCAGUUCGAGUUACCAGACAUAUCGUAAAGACGAGAUCCAUCGGGGAAUGAUGGGUCACAGGUCGCACAGCGCGGCACCUAUGGAUUCUCCAAGCAUUAGAUAUCGAGGAAGGUCUCAGAGUCCCACCGGUCAUCGUUCCUUAUCUCCACCCGAGCAUAGAUCCAUUCCCUACUCGCACGGAUACGUUCAUACGACAAGAUUCGGCUCGAGAUCGGCGACCGCCACACCUACUGGAUCGCCAAAGAAACGUCAGCUACCUCAAAUCCCGGCAGCUUUAAAGGAAAGAGUCACGCAAGAUUUUGAGGAACGAGCAAGAUUCAUGAGACAUCGCAACAGACAGUCGAUAUACAGGAGCACUGGUUGGGAAAGGCAUUAUAGUGGCCUUUCGGACUCGGAUCUUCCUUCAAUCGGACACGAUCCAUUAACAUUGUCACACAGUCACGCUCACAGAAUGCACAGGCCGAGGAGGGGGCAUUUAAGUCCCGACAAAGAUGUAUUGGGUGAUCUUGGAGAUUCUGACAUGGAAAGCAUAGCUUCGGUAACGAGCAGUGCCUUUAGUACGCAAUCGGAACGACCACGUGGAUCGAGAGCGCUAAUGCCAGGGGCCGUCGGUCUGCUAUCGCGCCGGGCCAAGAGUUUCGAGUACGAGAGCAUUUCGAGCAACAUAUUCAGCGACGACAGUCUCAGGACGGCCAGAAGAAAACUCAAGCGGAAUCUCUCUCUCAGCGAUGCCGGGUAUGGUGACAAGAUACCUGCGCUGGACGAUCAGAGCAAAUCCUACUACGAUUCUAACGGUGACGACAAAGUGCCUACGAGUCUCACGAAUAAAGAGACAAAUUACGAUUUUCUGCUCGAUCAGGACCACAAACCGUUUUAUGGAUAUGACUCGGAAUUUAGUUGCGGCGAAACGGAGAUUUACGUUCCCAGUUUCGACAAGCAGAAGACCGAGACCGACGAUUAUCAAGCUUCUUAUAGUUCCCAUUUAACGGAAGACAAUGGUCUCUUUAGUGACAACGAUCGUGCUAAUCUCAGGAAUGUUCUGGACAAGGAUGAUAUUAAUAAGAAAAAAUACAUGGAUGGAAGUUACUUGAAUCACGACACUUCGUAUAUUAGGGAUAUAUCUCCAGGAACAAGAACCAAGAAAGUAGACAGCGAUCUUCGUACUUCGAUUGGUGAUAUCUAUAGUAAUAUUGAGGAAACUUUUUCGUCUAAUAAAAAUUAUAAUCGUGAUAUUCUCGCGAGAUCCGCCACAAAAAUCCACGAUGUCACAAAAUCUACUAACAUGGAUGAGUGGAUGUCGAAGGACGUAAAAGGUGUCCUGCGGUCUCAUGGAGCAACUGGUCGUUCUUAUCAAGAGGAUAGGUAUAAGACUCGCGAGAACUGGGACACUGAUUACGACGAAGGAUUUAUAGAUCGGGAAAAGGACUACGAACAGAAGCAGUUUAGUUACCUAGACAAAGGCAUUUGUGCCUUAAGAACUAGUGGAUCAGUGCGCGAAGGUGAAUAUUUUCAUGAUGUAACGAAACGUUCUUGUGCUGUUCAGGGAAAAUGUUAUGCACUAUCUGAUGAUGAUGACAAAAAGUUCACGAUGGACGAUUACAUCAGUUUUCGUUCGUCCGACGAUUACAAUUAUUGGACUACGCACAGUAAGGCGGAAACAUACGAAGAUGGAUUUGUGCCGCGAAGACGAAGGCGAAGAAAUAGGAGAGGUAGUAGAGAUGGAGGCGCAGGUGACUACGAGAUCCUGCCACGGAUCAGAGACGUGUCAGGCGCUCAAUCGAGAAUGGAGAGCAAGAAAUUGAUGACAAUCCAACGUACGGAGUCUACGCCAACCCUACACUCAGACGAAGACGUGAAUUCGCUUGCAGACCGUGCUAGACGUAUUUAUCGUCGCAAGCGAAAUAGCAGUUGUCCAGAGAGUAGAGAUCUACGAAUGUAUGGUCCGCGAGGAAACGGUGAGAGAACUGUACUGGAGUCUGACGAGGAGUUCGGAUCGAUGGAGACGGUAGUCGGCGCUGAUUAUUUCCGUCGUACUUCGGGCUACGUGGCGAAUGCUAGAGCAAACGACGGCAUUAGAUCGGGCUUCUUUGACGCGGAACAAGAUCGUGAUAGCUACUUAGACGCAAGAUACGAUCAUGAGGACCGAUAUCAGGAUCGCAGUUAUCCGAUGGCACGCGGGCUAGUUAGGUCAGGGUCGCAACGUUCUUCGAAUCGCGAUGCGCGAUACAUAUCGCGCGCUAGGCGUAAGAGUAGUUGCCCGGAGUGUCGUGAGCUAGCACUGUCCUCCUCGGAGUUAGGUAGGUCGGGAUCGCUAUCGCGAAAGGGUGACGAUCUUCGGCGUUCAUCGUUAGAGACGAAGCAUAGAUAUCGUAGGCGGAACAGCAGCUGUCCGGAGGCUAGGGAUCUCGAAAUGCUCGAGAAGAGGCAGCGUCAGCAGCAAUUCAUGCAGUUCCAUCAGCAGCAACAGCGGCACUCAAGUCAGCAGUAUCAGCAGCAACCGCAGCAGCAACGGCAGCAUCAGCAGCAGCAAGCGCAACACCAGCAACCGCAGGGAAGUAGUAAGAGGAACGUGGCGAUCAGCGACACCCUCGAGUACUACGAGUACUCGAUGGAGAGCGAGAGCCAGUGCAGCGAGAACUGCGGAUUUGGCCCGUGCGAUCCGCGUAGGCCCCGUAACCGAGCACCCCGCCCUGGUAACGCUAAUUCGAGUCUCUUUGAUUCCCAAACCGCUACCUCCGACACUGCUAAAAACUACCACCCACGGAUCAACGAUCAUCACCACCAACACCCACAAAACACGAAAACGUCGCCGCUCGCCAAUGUCGCCGAUGUGGCGUCGACGUUUCUGCCACCGUUGCCGCCGUCAUCCUUGUCGUCCGCUCGACGACGAUCCCGAAAAAAAUCCGCUUACGACGUCGACGUCGUCGCCGAUCGUCGCGACGACGACGACGCUCGGAAUCGUCGUUCUUCAUCUAUGCCCGAAAGCAGCGAGUACACCAGUCAGUCGAGUUCGUACGAGAAGACGUCCAGACGCCAGGUCACCGACAAUGGCCAUGACGAGCAUGAUAAGAGAAGUCAGUUCACCAGAAGUCUCAGUAAUGCCGAUGUGCCGCAAGACGAGAAAGACACGGGUAGUUUCAGCGAUACUGCGAUUGCAUUGAACGUUGAAGAAGCAACGAGAAGAGGUCGUAAGAGCUCGCCAGGAAGUAAAAGCGGAAGUGGCAGCAGUAGCGGAAGCGCGGUGCAGUACCAAGCGGGUUUGAGCAAGAAGAGCAAUAGUACCAGCCAAUUAUCUGCGACAGAGUGCGGCGGGAUGAUCAUCAGCAUUGGUGGAAGUGCCGGCGCCGUGGCACGCGGUGCCGGUUUAUCGAACCGGAAACGUAACAGCACGCCGUGCAGCAUACAACGAUCCGAGGAGAUCAUGCCGGCCUACCAGCGCUUUGACAACAAAGGAUCUGCAGCCAGCGAUACCGCCGGAAGUCUCAACUCGAUUUCUAGUUCCGAAGGAAGCUCUUGGUCUCCCAGCCUGCGAAUGGCAGGCGAUGGGCAGUUGAGAAAUUUCAUUGAAGAUCUCGGACCAGGCCAAGUGGUCGGAAGACAAGCACUCGCUACCCAUUGCCUCGGCGAGAUUCAACUAUCAUUGAGCCAUACGAAGGGUUACCUUGAAGUAGAGGUCAUACGUGCCAAAGAACUCAAAGCGAAACAAGGCAGUAAAGUAAUACCAGCUUCUUACGUAAAGUUGUAUCUGGUGAACGGUAAAAGAUGUAUAGAGAAAGCGAAAACCACGACGGCUAGAAAAACGUUGGAUCCAUUCUAUGGUUCGCAAUUAUUGGCUUUCAAAGAAAACUGCCGAGGUUGUAUAUUACAGGUGACAGUAUGGGGAGACUACGGUCGGAUAGAGGGAAAAAAAGUGUUCAUGGGUAUUGCACAGAUCAUACUGGAUGAGCUGGACCUCAAUCAGAUGGUGAUCGGAUGGUACAAGCUGUUUGACACCCAAGCCCUGGUCAGUGGAGCUUCAUCUCUUGCUUUGUCCCGUCGAUCUUCGGUUACGUCUCUCGAUUCUUUUAAAAUCUAAAAGAAUGACUGCCCGAAGAACGUACCGAAAUAUUCCUUUUAUACAUAUUUACUGAAGAGAUCUUUAAGUUUCUUGCAGUAGACAAAGUAGCGCAGACACAAUUGAGUCCUAUCGAGCUCCUAUCGCGAUGCACCCAGUCGCUUUUAUCAUUAACAGAAUACUGAAAUGCACGAGUCUCGAUGUACAAGAUAGUAUUACAUUUAUUUUAAUUGAUUAAAUAAUAGAACAUGUAUGGAAAUUAUUAUAAACGUUUAGUAUUAUAAAUGUCUUUAACAACUUAAGUAACACGUAUAAAAUCAUUGCUUGAUGAUAUUAAAUGUAGUAUUAAAUAAAUAUAUUAGGAGAUAGAGAGUUUGGAUUACUACGUCCAUCGUAAUAAAAAAUUGAAAGAAGUGUUUAAGUAAUUCUCUACCGUGUUGUAAUAUUACAUAUUCUUCACUAUGGUUGACAGAAUUGAAAAGAAUCUUAUACAUCCUACACGCGUAUUCCCCGUAGGCUAUUAAUGUCGAAGCCUAAAGCUAUUUAACGAGUGACGUUCGGCUCUGAAUACGGUAAAGUCAGUUUAACGAACAAUAUAUAACGAGGAAUAUACAGUAUGAAAAGUGCGAUUGUAUACGGAUAAUAAAAAAUUCUGCGAAAUCGGAAUGAAAACGAGAGAUAUAAGCAAUGCAAAGGCGAUGCGAGAAUGUGAAAAGAGUGAAAAAACGUACGAAAGGAUGUCUUUCUAGAAACACCACUAGUACAUAUAAUGUACGGCAUAUCAGACGAGCCACUAGUCUGUAUGUAGACUAGAUGUAGACGUAGCAGCCAUGUUCCCGGAGCGCCAGAUAGUUUUAGUGAAAACAAAUUAAAUCCAGUAAGUUCAGGAUAGAUGUGAACUCAAAUGUGGUGUACUAGAUAAAUAAGAUGUGAAACGGUCAAUGACACUCGUUUUCAGUGAAUCUAAAUGUGGUUAAGUGAAUAAUGAAAUUCAUGAAUACAGUGAGAAAUAUGCGAUAAAUGGAUAAAUCACGGACUUCAUUUAAACAGCAUGUGAGAGAGAUUUAAAGUAUUGAAACAUUCCAAAUGAGAAGACAUUUCCAAACUUUGUAUAUAAUUUAGGACAGUUCAAGUAUGUCGAUCUCCGAAACGAUCGGCUAAAAGACAUUUAUCGUUGUCAAAUUUUUAGUCAAAAAUGUCACCGUCAGAGCAUAUAUUAUUUAAUGUAAAUAUUAUACUAUAACACUGAUAUGAGAAUUUGCGAUAUGUGCGCGCAAGUUUGAAUGGGUAAUGAUUUACUUUAUAUUCUCGUUGACUUUCUAUGAUGAUUGUCGCUAUAGUUUUUUUCUUAAUUACACAAACUCGAUCUAAUUUAACAUUUUCUAAGUUAGUAUCGGAAUCAUUAGAAUGUACGAUGAUAUAAUUAAUUACACAAUUUGUUCCUUGAAUACUGAUAUUUAUUGGUAUCGUAUUAGCACGUAUUACUUGGCUUUUUAAAUAUCGUUUAGUAAUGUGUUCAAAAAGAAAAGAGAUAAUUAUUAUGAUGUAGAAAAUAUGGAACAGGAAUAUGUACUAUAUUUCUCAAGUACGAAGCAGACUGAUAAAUCGAUUCCUAUACAUCUAGUUUGGAUCUUUUUGUUGAAUUAGCAGUCUCAAAGCCAGAAUGAAAUAUACCCGAACGAUUACGAAUCAGCUUUGUUUGAAAGCUUUGUUUGGAAGAUUUUAUUCGCGUAUAAGAACCAGUUUUCGAAACAAAUUGAAAAAAAUAAAACCGCCCAUAUAACUCGCGUAAACGGGACGCGUCGCGGCAAAAAUUCUCUUUCGUACUGAUUUUGUACAAAAACAGUGAAAUGCCACUAAAUAUUUAAGAGGCUUUGUAAAUCUCUGUAAGAAGCGCGUAAAAGAAAUGCUUGCCAUUAAUUUUAUAUCUUAAUUAUCGUGCUAUGUGUUCGAUCUUUCUUCGUGCGUAUCUUGAAUACUCGCGAAGAUAUAUUCAGCGAGCAUGCACAUGCACGUCUGCUGUGAAUUAGUAAAUAAUUACAUUUGUGCUCUCUGAGAGAGAGGGAGGGGAGGAAGAGAGAGAGAGAGAGAGAGAGAGAGAGAGAGAGAGAGAGAGAGAGAGAGAGAGAGAGAGAGAGUGAAAGAGCAUUACCUUUUGUGAAGUUUUUAAGAUUUAGCAUGAAAACUUCGUGUAAAAAAUAACAUUUCAAUUUAAUUAUAGUGCAUGAGAUUUGGAAAACGAGGGUAAGUCUGAAAAGGAGCAAGUUUUCAAUAUUUUUCAGGUAUUAUUGAGAGUUACACUUUUGCGAGUUGACACGAAUACGAAAAUUAGAAAAAUCACUGAGCAAAGUUUCUUUGUAAGUCUUGUUAAUAAUCUCAUGAAGUAAGCUUUUUAUGUGACAUACCUUAAAUUACAAAUCAUUGUAUAGUUGAAAGGUACUCCUUGGAUAUUAUCGAUAAAAUUGACAAAUGGAAUGCAAGCUUCAAUGUAUAUGGCUAUUACGUAUAUUUUUGUAAAUCUACGAUUUACUAUAAAAAUUCGCUAGAGAUAUAGGUUUGAAUGUAGAAAAAUUUCUAUAAUUCGCGUCACAUUUCUUGUAUCACUAAAGACUAACAUCCAGCGACAUUAAUGUCGAUGCUCUUUUAUCACAAAUUCUUACUAUGAUUGACCAAGUAUAAUAUUUUGCUUUGCAAUUUGAAACGAUUGUCUCACACAUCUCGCACUCGUGUUUCUGCUCUCCGUUAUAUCAAUAUUUCUACGCAAUUUCUAUCGCAACGCGAUCUUUAAGGUAAGAUCGAGAUAAUGCUAGCGCGGAGUAUGAUACGCGUGCUGAGAUUAUAUCGAAAUGUCAUCGAAAUACAUACAGUCCGUCGUUAAGUGAGUUAUGACGUAAGACUUAACUUAGAAUUUGACAAACGAAAUAACAAAUACCGUUAAUUUACAGAUGAACUAUGUAGAUGUCACCGAUAAUCCGAUUGUUCACGAUAAAUCCUAGGUAACGUAACUUUCUCGUAAUCGGGGGACCGAUCGAGCUUUAGGGAAUGGUGGAAUUGUAUAAAAGGGUGGUAUCUUAUCAUAUCUAUAAUAUGCUUAUAUUAGAGACGUACAGCAAAAAGAAAGAAGCUUUUUUACUCGUGAGAAAAUAAAGACAGAAAAGUAGAGUUCUAUCCAAAGACAAAGAUAUGUAUAUGUAAAGUACUGUGAAAAAAAAGAUAUUACUGUAAGCUGAUUUCUAAGUACAUAUUUUGCAAGUGCACGAACUUAUUAAGAUCGUGGGACGACAUAUAUACAAGCAUAAUUCUGUAAUAGUUAAUUAAUAAAAUAUACAAGACUACUAGAUAAAAACUCUUCUGUUUGUAACGCGUCGUUUACAGACGGUUGUAUAAGAUUCUUCGCGAAAUUGAUUCGACACUCGUCUCUUCGUGAGCUGUUUCUUGCGUUUUCGA
Molecule: unclassified non-coding RNA, 9953 nt
Filed under: Acromyrmex echinatior (Panamanian leafcutter ant)
Lineage: Eukaryota; Metazoa; Arthropoda; Insecta; Hymenoptera; Formicidae
Description: regulating synaptic membrane exocytosis protein 2- like, transcript variant X13
Source: RNAcentral